Molecule: ribosomal RNA, 737 nt
Filed under: Escherichia coli
Lineage: Bacteria; Pseudomonadati; Pseudomonadota; Gammaproteobacteria; Enterobacterales; Enterobacteriaceae
Description: partial 23S ribosomal RNA
Rfam family: Bacterial large subunit ribosomal RNA
Source: RNAcentral
UGUUUGAUGUUCUAACGUUGGCCCCUGAUCGGGGUUGCGGACAGUGUCUGGUGGGUAGUUUGACUGGGGCGGUCUCCUCCUAAAGAGUAACGGAGGAGCACGAAGGUUGGCUAAUCCUGGUCGGACAUCAGGAGGUUAGUGCAAUGGCAUAAGCCAGCUUGACUGCGAGCGUGACGGCGCGAGCAGGUGCGAAAGCAGGUCAUAGUGAUCCGGUGGUUCUGAAUGGAAGGGCCAUCGCUCAACGGAUAAAAGGUACUCCGGGGAUAACAGGCUGAUACCGCCCAAGAGUUCAUAUCGACGGCGGUGUUUGGCACCUCGAUGUCGGCUCAUCACAUCCUGGGGCUGAAGUAGGUCCCAAGGGUAUGGCUGUUCGCCAUUUAAAGUGGUACGCGAGCUGGGUUUAGAACGUCGUGAGACAGUUCGGUCCCUAUCUGCCGUGGGCGCUGGAGAACUGAGGGGGGCUGCUCCUAGUACGAGAGGACCGGAGUGGACGCAUCACUGGUGUUCGGGUUGUCAUGCCAAUGGCACUGCCCGGUAGCUAAAUGCGGAAGAGAUAAGUGCUGAAAGCAUCUAAGCACGAAACUUGCCCCGAGAUGAGUUCUCCCUGACUCCUUGAGAGUCCUGAAGGAACGUUGAAGACGACGACGUUGAUAGGCCGGGUGUGUAAGCGCAGCGAUGCGUUGAGCUAACCGGUACUAAUGAACCGUGAGGCUUAACCUUACAACGCCGAAGCUGUU